Molecule: long non-coding RNA, 486 nt
Filed under: Nicotiana benthamiana
Lineage: Eukaryota; Viridiplantae; Streptophyta; Magnoliopsida; Solanales; Solanaceae
Description: long non-coding RNA (NBEN_LNC017711)
Source: RNAcentral
UUUAAAACCUGGGUAUUUGUUCUAGACCUGGCUUACCCGAGCGGACAACUCGAGCCGAGGGGGAGGCGGCAAUCCGGGAAUACAGAAGUUUCUUCGGCUUUGAGACUUAUCCAAGCCUCGUUUUAAAUUGGGAUUUUGAUACUAGACAGAAAAGAAGUCGUACACCGUACACCCUUCUUCACAAUUCAGAAGACUUAGAAAGGAGAUUUGGUUCGGCACAAUUUAUAUACAGUUCACAAUAAUAUCAAAGCGGUAAAAGCAGUCAACUAGCACAUUAGGCACAUAUCAUGUAACAAAAUCAGAUAAAUGCAAACGCAACAAUUAUUCUAAACAAGAAUUAUGAACCCUGAACAAAACGUUCUGGUUUCUUUUCCCCAGCAGAGUCGCCAGAGCUGUCACACCUCCUUUUUUACACACCUACCCCAAAGGAUAAUGUAUAGGGGAGUUUUUCCAUUUAAAGUGACAUUAUUCGGAUCGGGUCAUCAC